GCAAGUCGAGCGGACCUUCGGGUCAGCGGCGGACGGGUGAGGAACACGUGAGUGAUCUAUCGAUGAGUGGGGGAUAUCGGGCCGAAAGGCGCGGCAAUCCCGCAUACGUUCCUACGGGAAGAAAGCUGGGCAACUGGCGCUCAUCGCGGAGCUCGCGGCCCAUUAGCUAGUUGGGGGGGGUAACGGCCUCCCAAGGCGACGACGGGUAGCUGGUCUGAGAGGACAACCAGCCACACUGGCACUGAGACACGGGCCAGACUCCUACGGGAGGCAGCAGUGAGGAAUAUUGCGCAAUGGGGGCAACCCUGACGCAGCAACGCCGCGUGUGGGAAGAAGGCUUUCGGGUUGUAAACCACUUUUGCCCGGGACGAAAGGGGGGGCCUGAAUAAGGUCACCCGAUGACGGUACCGGGAGAAUAAGCCACGGCUAACUCUGUGCCAGCAGCCGCGGUAAGACAGAGGUGGCAAGCGUUGUUCGGAGUUACUGGGCGUAAAGAGUCUGUAGGUGGUCUGUCAAGUCUUUGGUGAAAGGCCGUGGCUUAACCAUGGGAAUGCCAAAGAGACUGGCAGACUGGAGGCUGGGAGAGGGAAGCGGAAUUUCUGGUGUAGCGGUGAAAUGCGUAGAUAUCA
This 629-nucleotide ribosomal RNA is filed under the name uncultured Leptospirillum sp. RNAcentral's name for it is "bacterial SSU rRNA". It matches the Rfam family "Bacterial small subunit ribosomal RNA", at positions 57 to 699 of the family's 1533-position model. Lineage: Bacteria; Pseudomonadati; Nitrospirota; Nitrospiria; Nitrospirales; Nitrospiraceae. The record is from RNAcentral.